GCCAGGUGUGGCGGUGCAUGCCUGUAGUCCCAGCUACUUGGGAGGCUGAGGCAGGAGAAUUGCUUGAACCCAGGAGGCGGAGGCUGCAGUGAGCCGAGAUCGCGUCACUGCACUCCAGCCUGGGCGACAGAGCGAGACUCUGCCUCAA
RNAcentral lists this non-coding RNA (148 nucleotides) under Homo sapiens (human). Lineage: Eukaryota; Metazoa; Chordata; Mammalia; Primates; Hominidae. The record is from Rfam by way of RNAcentral.